Molecule: ribosomal RNA, 400 nt
Filed under: uncultured fungus
Lineage: Eukaryota; Fungi
Description: eukaryotic LSU rRNA
Rfam family: 5.8S ribosomal RNA (bases 1-106)
Source: RNAcentral
GAAAUGCGAUAAGUAAUGUGAAUUGCAGAAUUCAGUGAAUCAUCGAAUCUUUGAACGCACCUUGCGCCCUUUGGCUAUUCCGAAGGGCAUGCCUGUUUGAGUAUCAUGAACACCUCAACUCUCAUGGUUUGCCAUGAUGAGCUUGGACUUUGGGGGUCUUGCUGGCCUGUGGUCGGCUCCUCUCAAACGAAUCAGCUUGCCAGUGUUUGGUGGCAUCACGGGUGUGAUAACUAUCUACGCCUGUGGUUUUCCGCCAGAUAACCUUCAGUGACAUGGAGGUUUGCUCUGGAGCUCAUAAACGUCUCUCUCCAGCGAAGACAGCUUUGUGAACGUUUGAUCUCAAAUCAGGUAGGACUACCCGCUGAACUUAAGCAUAUCAAUAAGCGGAGGAAAAGAAACU